Molecule: long non-coding RNA, 583 nt
Filed under: Pongo abelii (Sumatran orangutan)
Lineage: Eukaryota; Metazoa; Chordata; Mammalia; Primates; Hominidae
Description: lincRNA
Source: RNAcentral
AGCUUCUGCUAGUGUUUAGGUACUAGUGCAGUGUAGAACCCUUUUCUCAGGCAAAACCUAACAUCUGACCGCACCCUUUUUGCUAUUAAAAAAAAAAAAAAAAAAGCUUCUAUUUUUUUCCUCCUUUCGUUAAGAUAAAUUCUCCAGUAGACAACCUCUCUCACUAAUUGUGUAUUAGCAACGUAUUUUAUUUUGAGAGCUGUACACUGGGCUCUCAAUGUGGUGUGGAAGGUAGCCUGUUACAGUGCUGGAUUCAUAAAAGGGCCUUUAUGGUUUGUGAAAGAAUAUCUGUGUGCUUAGGGAGGAAACUUUUUGAUCUGCAGAAAAGCCAGAAAGAAGACAUCUAGGACAUCCAUAAAAAUUCUUCAGAGGGUGUUUUACUACUGAGCUGCAAAGGGAAAAACUUAAAAUGGAUAUGAAAAGUGAAGAAAGUGAUCAUAGGAGAAAACCAUUUCAGAUGACAAGAGCACCUCAAAGGCAGCAGCCUCAAGAAGCAGCCAUGGCCCCAGAGUUGUCCCACGGAUGCAGAAAACUUAAUGGAGGAGGCUGAGGCUGGAGUGCAAUGAUGCAAUCUCAGCUCACU